UACGUAGGGUGCGAGCGUUGUCCGGAAUUACUGGGCGUAAAGAGCUCGUAGGUGGUUUGUCGCGUUGUUCGUGAAAACUCACAACUCAAUUGUGGGCGUGCGGGCGAUACGGGCAGACUGGAGUACUGCAGGGGAGACUGGAAUUCCUGGUGUAGCGGUGGAAUGCGCAGAUAUCAGGAGGAACACCGGUGGCGAAGGCGGUUCUCUGGGCAUGAUCUGACGCUGAGGAGCGAAAGUGUGGGGAGCGAACAGG
Molecule: ribosomal RNA, 253 nt
Filed under: uncultured bacterium
Lineage: Bacteria
Description: partial 16S ribosomal RNA
Rfam family: Bacterial small subunit ribosomal RNA
Source: RNAcentral